GCCGCCACGCGCCAGAGAUGACCGUGCCUGACCACCCGAUUCCGCGCCUCUCGCCGGGGACCGCCGCUGACGAGGGCCACGCCGGCGAUCUCCCCUCAGCCCGCCUGCCUCCUCUUUCCUCUCUGUUCUCCUCCUCUCUCCGCCCCCUGUUCAACAGCGACCGCCCAAACUCGCCCUGAUCCAUGGCCAUCUCCUUCCGCCCAGCUCCGGUCUGUCAUCGGUCAUCCGUGGCACGAGCGUUGCGCCUCCUCCUCAACCUCCUCAUCCCGCUCCACUCCUCCUGGACUGCCCACGUGCGCCUCCCGAGCCCCCAUGGACGCCUUCUGUGGAUCUGCGAUAUCGAUGGUUGACCGCCGCCAUGAUCGUCCUCGUGCGCAGCUCCUUGUUGCCAUCCCCUACGCCUCCUCCCGCGUCUCCCCCCAUCUCGCCUAUGCAGCACCGUGGCUGCACGCCGCCAGCGCCGUCUGCUGCAGACCCACUCUCAACCCCCUGCGGUUCUUAUUGGUCUCUUAUUUGGAUGAGCUUUCUGAACACAAUCUGAAGCUUCCAAGAAGCAAAUUCCAUACUCUACUACUGACAUGCUUUCCGGUGUUCUGGUGAGAGAAAAUUUAGAAGCCAAGUUGUGCUAUAGGACAAGGUAAACCUGCUUAUCUCAUUUAACUAGUGUUCUUGGAAACUAUCCUAAUAUCCUCCUGAUGCUUACUCUUAUGUUUACACGUACCACUCUAUGGCAACGUGAAGAUAUACUAUGCCAAGGAGCUAAAAAGGCGCUUGUUUUAUGAGUGCUAUUCCCAUAGCCCUGACAAUGAAUUCUAGAAGCUAUGUAUUUUAGGCAAGAUCCGUCAACGGCGAGGUACCUGAGUCUGAUGCAAUUCAGGAGAAGCUGAUGCCUGACAAGUACACCACAGCAAAUGUCCAAGUGAUUCUCCUAACCACGGCGGGGUACCCAGGUCCAAUGUGAUUAAGAGGUAGACACGGCAGUAGCAGAGUUGAUCAGCUCCAAGCAGCUUUGCAAUCAUAUACAUAUAUUCUCACCACAAUUAACUACACGUAGGCUCUGUCUCCCUCCUCUCCUGAGAAUUUGACAAAUGUUGUUAUCAAGGCAUUUUGUUCUUCUAAUCGAUUCUAGAAUAGAUAAACAUGUACUAUGUGUUUCAUAUAUGAACUGUUAAGAACCCUAAACCCUAAACCUGACCACCAUUUUCUUUUGGCAUAUCCUAGGUUUAUGAAAUACUAAAUAAUGUUGUUGAUGAAGCUCAAGCAGGCUAUGCUACUAAGAUUAAUGCAGUCCUUCAUGAUGACAAUUCCGUUAGUGUAACUGACAACUGCCGUGGGGUAUGCAGUUCCUAAAACCUAUGAAAGACUUGCUGAAUGUUCAAUGGUUCUAUAAGUAUUGUGGAAAGAGUAACUGUUAUGUGUUUAGUUUUGUGCUAUUGCACGGUGUUGAACACCCUGAACAUGGCGAUUUCGGGGCCUAUAGGAUGGUAGAUGUCUGGGCCCAUGGCUGUGAGCUCGGCCAUAUAGGCCCUUGAAAACUGACGGCGACACCUCUCUUCGGGCAGAAUGUUAUGCACGAGCACAAUGCCGCGACAAUUUUCAGAGUCAUAGACCCGCUGGGAUUAGUGUGUGCGUUUUUUGUUUUUAUGACGUCUGAACUUUAGCGGACAAUGUUCACUCACACAUGGCACAUGUGCUAAACCAGCCGGCUGUUCGUUGGAAAGUUAUACGAAAUCCGAAGGAAUCCAGCCUUCAAGUGUAUCACCCAUUAUAUCUCUACUCUGUUCUUCUUUGGUCUGCUUUUCAGGAAGAAGGUGGAUUGGUGACCAUUUCCUAUAUGCAGAGGGGAUGGCAACGACUGUUCCUUGGUUGAAGGAUGCAAUGCAUCUCGCUGCAUUUCAAGGUGUACGAUUUUGGGUCUGCCUAGAUACCUAUGCAGGGGAGAAGAAAUCUGCAAGUUGGGUAGAAAGCUAGGCAUGAUUCUCAGUAAUACUCUUUACUUGGUACUUGAUGAUUACUCUUUACUUGGUACAAGGUACUUGAUGAUUCUAAUAUAGUCUGACCCUGCCGCAGAUAGUAGUUUACAUACAUGCCUAAAUGUGUUGGAGAUGCAUUGAACUGUGUUUCAUAGGUGGUCGUGACCAUGAAGGGUGACUAAAAGUAAUCCAUCAUCGCAUCAAGUUUAUGGAAUUCAUUGGAUCAAAAAUAGAUCAAGAUGCAUCUGGUUAAAUUUCAGGGAUCGAAAUCGAUACAGAUAAAAAAUGGCUCAAUGAAAGUUGUAGUAUCUGCAUACACUUUGUUGGUAUAUAAAUCCUGGCUCCCCUAAUACUUUAUUCCCAUGUAAAAUAGCUAAUUCCUACAUUACUUUGGAGUGCACACGUCAGUUAAGAAAGGAGACUGCAAGUUAUAUAUAGUGAUCUGUAUUGCUUACAUCUAAUAUACAAUCUAUACAUGAUGGUUUCGAAUUA
Molecule: long non-coding RNA, 2465 nt
Organism: Triticum aestivum (bread wheat)
Lineage: Eukaryota; Viridiplantae; Streptophyta; Magnoliopsida; Poales; Poaceae
Exons: 2
Source: RefSeq, a predicted model, not a curated record